CAAACUCAUACUCUCUUGCUACAGGGCAAUUAAUCCCUAUCAUGCUUUUUUAAAAGGUCAGUUUAUGAACUCAGAUAAGGAAAAAAAGUCAGUGAAGUGUGGUAUUUUCUCCUCUUAACAUCAGCAAAAAGAAGACCUACUGUUUUAGAAUUGCAGAUACAUUUAGCUAAUUUCUACAUGAUUGCAUCAAAGACAUUCCAUUCUCUAAUUAAUGAAGCCUUCAAAGAAAAAUAUCAGAGAGAAAAAGCCCUGACUUUCAACCAUCAUUGAACUUCUCAUGCUAGUAAAAGUUGGAAGUAAAAUAUAAGGGUAAAACCUAUAAAGGCAAAUACUGAAACACAGAGGCAAAAUACGAUCUCUUUGCCCUUUAGUAUUUGGAUAAUAAAAAUGUAAAACAUUGCCCAAUAUCCUCAUAUCCCACUUAUUCUUUUUAUUCUUCUGCUUUCUGGAUCUGAAAGCUCUUUUCCAACCUCAAUGAUUUUAUGAUUCUAUUCUUGAAUUUUUUUUAAAAGAGCAGAAUAACUUCUUCUGACAUUUGUUAUAUGUUACCAAUUCAAGGGUUUCAUAAGGACUGAAGUAUUUCUGUCAAAACUAAGAAGAAGGUGGAUAACUGCAAUGAAGAGAGAUGGGCCAUGAAGGGAGAUUACACCAGCUCUUAGUUUGGUUGCCAAGCUGUUAAUAAAGUCAACAUUGUGAAGAAAUGAAGUUUAAAGUCUAUACAAAGAAGACAAAAUUUCUUGAGAAAUGACAUGUACUACGGUACUGGAAACUUUAUCUUCCUGUCAAAGAUGAUGCAGUAAAGUCAACUGAACAAGAUAAUAACAUAUCUCUUGUAAAGGUGGAAGAUGUCUACAGUGAAUGGGAACAGAAGAUGGCAUAGGCUGUCAGAAAAAAUUAAAACAAGGAAUAUGUCUGUUCAUAAAUUUGAUGACGUGGAAUUCGAACCACACAAAAUGUUGUGAUAGAUGAACACCUUGGAGAACAUUUUAUUUUCUUAUUUGAAAGAAACAUUUUGGAAGAAGAUUUUAUAUCCUUCUCUAUAAUGUCUCUGUAUAUCUAUACCUACAUAUUUAUAUUUAAUUCUUUGCAUCUGUAUAGGGUCAAGACUUAUUUCACAUUCAAGACUUUCCCUGUAUUAUUUGACUGUUCUCAUUUUUAAACAGGCUUAUCUGAAGAUAUGAUAUUCUAGAAAAUUCUAGGACACUAUACAAUGGCAAAAUUGCCAUUUUUUCUUAAAUAUGUGGAUAAUUUGGAUUAUUAUUUGAAUUAAUCCACCAAGUUUCCCUAUUCAAAGGACUCAAUGAGAUUUGAAAGACAUGAUUUUCCUUGGUCUAUCUGAUGCUGAAGAAAAGCUUGAAUUUCUCUCUGCCACAUCUCAUCUGAGACUCCCAACUGCUAGAUAAAUUAAUGUUGCUUUGGGGGUAGGGUUAUAUGUGUCAGUUUUACUGAAGGAUUUGGAUAUGAGGGGGAAAUUUUGGUGCCAGAACCUAACUUUUUUAAGCAAAUGGUCAGUUCAAAGCUCCUAAGAACUCUUGUUUCUAACACAGCACUUUGUUUAUUUUAUUUUAUUUUAUUUUGAAACCUCAUACUGGAGUAGUGGACCUAUUUAACAAUGGUAAUUACAUAAUUUGGUCUUUGAAUUAGAUACGUGUUCCCAUUUCAAUGUGACUGUUCUUUUCCACAUUUUUAUUUCCUUCUGCAAGGGAGGGUAUGGCUGGUCAUUCAGAUGAUAUGGUUUUUGUCAUCUCUUGGAUCAGUGACUUAAUCAUAGGAUUUCAUUUUAAAGAGGACUCACAGGUCUACUAAUGCCAACAAUAAGAUGACCUGGUAAUAUUCAGAGUUCAAAGUUUAAUCACAGUAGAUCAAUCAUCACAAAGUUCAAAGAGCAUUAUUAAGCAAGCUGCAUAUUCUAGGUCUUGAGGCAAUAUAGAAUUAAUUGUCAGGAAAACAGUGGAAAAGGAAAGCACUUUAAUCUUCUUGUCCUCGGUGUGACAUAUGUCAAGUUUUGAAAUAUGUAACAUGAUGUCAUAGCUGCAGAAAGAGAGUCCAAUUUAGCCAAGGAGAAGGUGUAAAGUGACCUGGUAGAGCUUUUAUUAUUAUUAUUAUUAUUAUUUUGAAGUUAAUAAACCAAGUGAUAUUUAAAGGUGUAGUAUCCAAAUUUUGUUUCCAAAUUUUUGCUGCAAACUCUGAAGAUAUUUACUGAUACUAAUUCUUUUUUUUUUCCUUAUGGUCAGAUAAUUGAGUAUUUUAGAAUAUUAGUUCUCUUUGAAAGUUCAUAUUAAUGAGUUCAUAUUGAGGAAUUAAGAUUGAAUUCACCUCAGUAUUAAAAAAGAAACUAAUGUAUUUCUUAUAAUGGAGCACAUCUCCAACACCUGUGAAUCUUCAGAUAUGUGUCUAAGCAAACUUUUAAACUGACUAUACUGUAUACAUGCAUGAAAAAAAGCUAACUAGUAAAACAGAUGAAAGCUUAAAGAGUCUUGAGUUUGGUAAUAUAGUGACGUGUCUUUGGAGUCUUGAAAGGGGAAAAAUCUUAGAAAUAAACGUGAUGAUAAUGUAAUCAAACUUUCAUUUAUUUUUCUUUGUUUUGUUUUCUUCAUGACAUCUGGGAUUAUCCAAUGUGUGUCAAAUAAGCAGUAUGGUUUUCUAAGAUGACAUUGUGUGG
This is a long non-coding RNA of Neopelma chrysocephalum (saffron-crested tyrant-manakin), 2662 nucleotides long. RefSeq lists it as uncharacterized. Lineage: Eukaryota; Metazoa; Chordata; Aves; Passeriformes; Pipridae. The record is from RefSeq and is a predicted model, not a curated record. The transcript has 3 exons.